AUUGAACAUUUAAUAUUUUGGAUGUAACUUUUGAAGAAAGUAUGCUUUGGUGCUUAAAAUUGUAUAUGAUUUUAGGUAAGAAACUUUGAUAAUAUUGGCAUAAUUUAGAUUUAUUUUCUUUCUUUUUUUUGAGACAGUCUCACUCAGUCGCCCAGGCUGAAGUGCAGUGACACAGUCUCAGCUCACUGCAACGUCUGCCUCCCAGAUUGAAGUGACUCUCGUGCCUCUGCCACAGAGUAGCUGGGAUUACAGGCAUGCACCACCACACACCGCUAAUUUUUUGUAUUUUUAGUAGAGACAGAGUUUCACCAUGUUGGCCAGGCUGCGAACUCCUGAGCUCAAGUGAUCCUCCCACCUCAGCUUCCCAAAGUGCUAGCAUUACAGGCAUGAGCCACCACACCUCACCAGAUUUUUAAAAAAUAUAUAACUGCAUCUCUCUUGAUUCUGGGGCUUGGUAAAAAUGGAUAGAUAAGAUAGUAUUCUAAAUUCAAAUUCGUGGCUAGGCACAGUGGCCCACACCUGUAAUCCCAGCACUUUGGGAUUCCAAGACAGAAGACUCACUUGAGUACAGUAUGAGACCAGCCUGGGCAACAUAGAUCUUGCCUCUACAAAAAAAAAAAAAAAUAGCCAGGUGUGGCACAUGCCUGUAGUCUCAGCUGCUUGGAAGGCUGAAAUGAGAGGAUCUCUUGAGCCCAGGAGGUCUAGGCCAGAGUGAGCUGUGAUCGUGCCAUUGCACUCCAGACUGAGUGACAGAGUGAGACUGUGUCUAAAAAAAAAGUUUGAAUUAAAAAAAAAAAAAAAAAAGUCGGCUGUGCACGGUGGCUCAUGCCUGUGAUCCCAGCACUUUCGGAGGCCAAAGUGGGUGGAUUACCUGAGGUCAGGAGUUUGAGACCAGCCUGACCAACAUGGUAAAACUCCAUCUCUACUAAAAAUACAAAAAUUAGCCUGGAAUAGUGGCGCAUGCCUGUAAUCCCAGCUACUUGUGAGGCUGAGGCAGGAGAAUCCCUUGAACCCAGAAGGCAGAGGUUGCAGUGAGCUGAGAUUGUGCCAUUGCACUCCAGCCUGGGCAACAUGAGCGAAACUCCAUCUCAAAAAAACAAAAACAAAAAACAAACUCAAAUUAGCAUGAUAGAUCAGGCUACUUAGAUUCAGCUUUCUGAGAUGUUAUUUGUUAACAUUAAGGCUAAUUUAUUAUAAUGAAAAUGUAAACUUUGAGGUAUGUUAAUAUAUAAACAUCUUUUUCCUUUGGCCUAAAAGGUCUUUAGUAUUCAGCACACUGGGUAAAGUUCAGUUUAGACACAAUCAAAUUGGCAUCUUUUAAACAUAAGUGAAAUAUAGAGAGCUUGAACUUGAGUUACUUAAAGAAGAUACAGUAUAAUUAAUUAUACAGAACAAAACAAAGAUGUGUUUAGAGUGACUCUGGCCUGACUCUUGUCCAUCAGCCCCUAGUAGCCUAUCUUCAGCCUUUGGGAAGUCUUAACUUCCCAGGUUAAACUAGAAUAUUCUGGAACUGAGCUGUCCAAAUUUCAUCUUAAAGUGGAUCAUUUGACUCUGAAACACGAUUCUCAUGGCAGAAAAAGCCCUGGUGUUUCCUUGGAGCUGGGGAUAAAGGCCAGUGAGCCAGCCUGUGAUGAGAGCUGCCCCUGGCACUAUCUGAGUGGAAAGCUCAUUGGGACAGCCAUGCAGCUAUCAGAGCCGACUGAAGCCCUGUCCCUUACCCCUCAGGCACCUGAUGCUUAACUUGCCUCCUGGGAAAUAAUGAUCUAGCAUUUACUUGGAACAAUGAUUAAUCAUGUUCUUUAAUAAUUGCUGACAUUUGUAUUUUAAGCUGUAUACCAAUGUUCGUAUUUGACAUUGAUUUUCUAACCAUUAGAGAUAUUUAAUUAAAACUUGGAAAUGAAAG
Molecule: long non-coding RNA, 1903 nt
Filed under: Homo sapiens (human)
Lineage: Eukaryota; Metazoa; Chordata; Mammalia; Primates; Hominidae
Description: non-protein coding lnc-CA7-2:2
Source: RNAcentral